AGAUAAUAGAUACCCUGGUAGUCCACGCCGUAAACGAUGAGUGCUAAGUGUUAGAGGGUUUCCGCCCUUUAGUGCUGCAGCUAACGCAUUAGGCACUCCGCCUGGGGAGUACGGUCGCAAGACUGAAACUCAAAGGAAUUGACGGGGGCCCGCACAAGCGGUGGAGCAUGUGGUUUAAUUCGAAGCAACGCGAAGAACCUUACCAGGUCUUGACAUCCUCUGACAACUCUAGAGAUAGAGCGUUCCCCUUCGGGGGACAGAGUGACAGGUGGUGCAUGGUUGUCGUCAGCUCGUGUCGUGAGAUGUUGGGUUAAGUCCCGCAACGAGCGCAGCCCUUGAUCUUAGUUGCCAGCAUUUAGUUGGGCACUCUAAGGUGACUGCCGGUGACAAACCGGAGGAAGUGGGGAUGACGUCAAAUCAUCAUGCCCCUUAUGACCUGGGCUACACACGUGCUACAAUGGAUGGUACAAAGGGCUGCAAGACCGCGAGGUCAAGCCAAUCCCAUAAAA
Molecule: ribosomal RNA, 509 nt
Filed under: uncultured bacterium
Lineage: Bacteria
Description: bacterial SSU rRNA
Rfam family: Bacterial small subunit ribosomal RNA
Source: RNAcentral